This 867-nucleotide ribosomal RNA is filed under the name uncultured archaeon. RNAcentral describes it as "bacterial SSU rRNA". It matches the Rfam family "Archaeal small subunit ribosomal RNA", at positions 1 to 878 of the family's 1478-position model. The record is from RNAcentral.
UUCCGGUUGAUCCUGCCGGACCCGACUGCUAUCAGAGUGGGACUAAGCCAUGCGAGUCGACGUAGCAAUGCGUGGCGAACGGCUCAGUAACACGUAGUCAACAUGCCCAGGGGACGUGGAUAACCUCGGGAAACUGAGAAUAAACCACGAUAGGUCACGAUUUCUGGAAUGGAUCAUGGCCUAAAUCUACAUGGCCCCUGGAUUGGACUGCGGCCGAUCAGGCUGUUGGUGAGGUAAUGGCCCACCAAACCUAUAACCGGUACGGGCUCUGAGAGGAGAAGCCCGGAGAUGGGCACUGAGACAAGGGCCCAGGCCCUAUGGGGCGCAGCAGGCGCGAAACCUCUGCAAUAGGCGAAAGCCUGACAGGGUUACUCUGAGUGAUUUCCGCUAAGGGGAUCUUUUGGCACCUCUAAAAAUGGUGCAGAAUAAGGGGUGGGCAAGUCUGGUGUCAGCCGCCGCGGUAAUACCAGCACCCCGAGUGGUCGGGACGAUUAUUGGGCCUAAAGCAUCCGUAGCCGGUUCUGCAAGUCUUCCGUUAAAUCCAGCCGCUCAACGGAUGGGCCGCGGAGGAUACUACAGGACUAGGAGGCGGGAGAGGCAAGCGGUACUCAGUGGGUAGGGGUAAAAUCCUUUGAUCCAUUGAAGACCACCAGUGGCGAAGGCGGCUUGCCAGAACGCGCUCGACGGUGAGGGAUGAAAGCUGGGGGAGCAAACCGGAUUAGAUACCCGGGUAGUCCCAGCUGUAAACGAUGCAGACUCGGUGAUGGGCUAGCCUUGUGCCAGCCCAGUGCCGCAGGGAAGCCGUUAAGUCUGCCGCCUGGGGAGUACGGUCGCAAGACUGAAACUUAAAGGAUUGGCGGGGGAGCA